AGCUGUCUCACUCCCAUUUCAUUUCAGAUCUCAAACACCUCUCUGUUCCGUCCGCUGCUUCCUCUUUGCCUUUGCUUCCUCUCUUUCUCUCUCUCUCUCUCUCUCCCUCCCUCUCCCUCUCCUUCCUCUCUUCCUCCAAAUCACUCUCUUUCCAAUCUUCUCCUGUCCUCCUCGCGGAUUCCUUCUUCCAAACCAUGAUUUUCCCUCGCCCUUUUCUAGAUCCGACAAAAAGAGGAAUUGAAAGAGCUUGCGACGAUCAUGGCUAUAUCGCUGCAACAAAGAUCUAUUGUGGACUUGACUAUGAAUUUGAAUGUGGGCACUGGGCACGCGCUAUUGAAGUC
Long non-coding RNA from Pyrus x bretschneideri (Chinese white pear), 341 nucleotides. RefSeq lists it as uncharacterized. The record is from RefSeq and is a predicted model, not a curated record. The transcript is spliced from 2 exons. Lineage: Eukaryota; Viridiplantae; Streptophyta; Magnoliopsida; Rosales; Rosaceae.